Molecule: long non-coding RNA, 2613 nt
Organism: Ictalurus punctatus (channel catfish)
Lineage: Eukaryota; Metazoa; Chordata; Actinopteri; Siluriformes; Ictaluridae
Source: Ensembl
GUAGUCUUGUGACUACCAGUCUAUUGCAUCAUAACCCUCUGCAGCACACUCGUACGCCCCAGCUGCUCAAAUGACCUUUGACCCCGCCUUCAGAUUACACACCGCAGAAGGUGUCUGUGCCUCCAUGCAAUGGAAAUGGGAGAGACUCUGAGAGGGAUGUGGGAGUGUCCCUGAAGUAAAUGAAUAGAAAUGUGGGCGUGUCCCUGAGGUAAACUUAUACAAAUGUAGGCGUGUCCCCAGGUACAUGUAUAGAAAUGUGGGCGUGUCCAUGAAGUAAAUGAACAUAAAUGUGGGUGUCUCACUGAGGUAAAUGUAUAGAAAUGUGGACGUGUCACUGAAAUAAAUGUAUAGAAAGAUUUUCUAGGUUUUCUGUAUAUCAUGGAAACUUGGAUUACUCCAGGAGUUCGGAGCCUGUUUUCUGAACUGGUACCAUCUGACUGUAAUUUUUUAUUUUUUUCUAACUCUCCUCGUUCUGUUGGUCGAGAGGGACGACUGGCUUCAGUUUUUAAACGGAAUUAUUAAUACUGUCGGAUGCUGGUGACGGAUGUUUGUUUGAGUUCUGAACUUCAGUUAUUUGUAUUGGAGUUGGAUAAUCCAGUGGUGAUUUCAGGCAUUUAUCGACCACCUGAACCACACAAAGACUUUUUAAGGGGAAUUAUGCCCAACUUUAAUCGGGGAUACAUAUAUGUGUGUUGUCGAAGAAUUUCUGACCCUUGUUGACUCUUUUUACUUGGUGCAGCUUGUGAAUGCUCCCCCUCAUAUUCAGGUGAUCGGACCUACUGUUCAAAAGAUCACGAACAGCUGCCUUGAAAUGGCGACGGUACCAGAUGACAUGAAGCAUGCUGUUGUCCAUCCACUUCCUGAAAAGCCAAAUUUACAUCCAACGGUUCUAACAAAUUUUAGUCUUUCUUCUAUGUCCAAAAUGUGGGCGUGUCAACGAAGUAAAUGUAUAAAAAUGUGGGCGUGUCAAUGAGGUAAAUGUAUAGAAAUGUGGGCGUGUCACUGAGGUAAAUGUAUAAAAAUGUGGGCGUGUCGCUGAGGUAAAUGUAUAGAAAUGUGGGCGUGUCACUGAGGUAAAUGUAUAAAAAUGUGGGCGUGUCACUGAGGUAAAUGUAUAAAAAUGCGUGUGUGUCACUGAGGUAAAUGUAUAAAAAUGUGGGCGUGUCACUGAGGUAAAUGUAUAAAAAUGUGGGCGUGUCACUGAGGUAAAUAUAUAAAAAUGCGUGCGUGUCAAUGACGUAAAUGUAUAAAAAUGUGGGUGUGUCACUGAGGUAAAUGUAUAGAAACGUUGGCGUGUCACUGAGGUAAAUGUAUAGAAACGUUGGCGUGUCACUGAGGUAAAUGUAUAGAAAUGUGGGCGUGUCCCUGAAGUAAGCAAAUAGAAAUGUGAAGGUGUGACAGGAGUCAAGAUGGCGCCGAUGGGUGUGGCCUGCUCUCCGCUGCCUGUUGUGUUUGCCCAUUUGUUUUUCCCUUUUGAAUUAAAAUAAUAAAGCUACCUUUGUUGGACCAGGUGUUGGUCAAGGAUGCGUGAUGGGCGUGGCCGAGGGAAAGCCGCACCCAUCUGUCUCCUCAAUAUCGAGAUCAUUUUAAUGCAGUCUGAGAGACAUUAGCGGCGCAGCCAGGAAUGGAAAAGUAAAAAGCUUUUCAUUAGUCUGACACAAAGCCAUCGAUUUGCCAGAACAGAACGAACAGAGAAAACAAAGAGCAGAAGAAAGAAGGGGAAUAGAAGAAAGAAUGAGAGAAAAGUGGGGAAGAAAAGAAGAGAGGAGAAUAGAAAGAAACGAAGACAGUGGAGCGGAGGGACAGAACAGUGAGGAAUGAAGAGCCGAGAAAGAGAAGGAGAGAAGAAAAGGAAAGAAUGGAGCAUGAAGGAAGGAAGGAAGGGAGAGGAAGAAGACAAGAGGAGAGAGACAGAGAGAGAGAGAGUGAGAGAGACAGAGAGAGAGAGAGUGAGAGAGACGGAGUGAGAGAGACAGAGAGAGAGAGUGAGAGUGAGAGAGAGAGUGAGAGAGACAGAGAGAGAGUGAGAAUGAGAGAGAGUGAGAGAGACGGAGAGAGAGAGACAGAGAGAGAGAGAGUGAGAGAGACGGAGUGAGAGAGACAGAGAGAGAGAGUGAGAGUGAGAGAGAGAGAGAGUGAGAGAGACAGAGAGAGUGAGAGUGAGAGAGACGGAGGGAGAGAGACAGAGAGAGAGAGUGAGAGUGAGAGAGAGAGUGAGAGAGAGUGAGAGAGAUGGAGAGAGAGAGAGACAGAGAGAGAGAGAGAGAGAAUCCUCCCCUGAGCAGGACGAUUAUGAGCCGGCUUUCCAUCACACACCACACGACAAGCGGAGACAAGUUCUGUCCAGACUAAUGAUGCCAGGGUCACUGGGGGUGUGUGUGUGUGUGUGUGUAUCAGGCGGUAAGGAAGCAUGAACCGAUACUAUACAGUGUCCUAUACAGUCUAAAAUGAGUGUCACAUUAUUUAGGAAAUCCCGCUAAAUAGAUUAGCAGUGGGGGAGGUGCACACACACACACACACACACACACAUAUAUAUAAUACACACACUCACACCCCUGUCAUAUAUGAAUAUGAUAUAAUCUCAUUAAACGUAUAUAAAGGUAUUAUGAAGGA